RNAcentral lists this ribosomal RNA (726 nucleotides) under uncultured bacterium. Its description in RNAcentral is "bacterial SSU rRNA". It matches the Rfam family "Bacterial small subunit ribosomal RNA", at positions 8 to 728 of the family's 1533-position model. The record is from RNAcentral.
AGAGUUUGAUCAUGGCUCAGAUUGAACGCUGGCGGCAUGCUUUACACAUGCAAGUCGAACGGUAACGCGGGGGCAACCCUGGCGACGAGUGGCGAACGGGUGAGUAAUACAUCGGAACAUGUCCUGGAGUGGGGGAUAGCUCGGCGAAAGCCGGAUUAAUACCGCAUACGCUCUGAGGAGGAAAGCGGGGGACCGUAAGGCCUCGCGCUGCAGGAGUGGCCGAUGUCGGAUUAGCUAGUUGGUGAGGUAAAGGCUCACCAAGGCGACGAUCCGUAGCUGGUCUGAGAGGAUGAUCAGCCACACUGGGACUGAGACACGGCCCAGACUCCUACGGGAGGCAGCAGUGGGGAAUUUUGGACAAUGGGGGCAACCCUGAUCCAGCCAUGCCGCGUGAGUGAAGAAGGCCUUCGGGUUGUAAAGCUCUUUCGGACGGGACGAAAUGGUUACGGUGAAUAACUGUGACUGAUGACGGUACCGUAAUAAGAAGCACCGGCUAACUACGUGCCAGCAGCCGCGGUAAUACGUAGGGUGCGAGCGUUAAUCGGAAUUACUGGGCGUAAAGCGUGCGCAGGCGGUUCGCCAAGUCAGGUGUGAAAUCCCCGGGCUUAACCUGGGAAUUGCGCUUGAAACUAGCGGGCUUGAGUGUGGCAGAAGGGGGUGGAAAUUCCACGUGUAGCAGUGAAAUGCGUAGAGAUGUGGAGGAACACCGAUGGCGAAGGCAGCCCC